RNAcentral lists this ribosomal RNA (496 nucleotides) under uncultured bacterium. Its description in RNAcentral is "partial 16S ribosomal RNA". It matches the Rfam family "Bacterial small subunit ribosomal RNA", at positions 28 to 506 of the family's 1533-position model. The record is from RNAcentral.
GAUGAACGCUGGCGGCGUGCCUAAUACAUGCAAGUCGAGCGAACGGACGAGAAGCUUGCUUCUCUGAUGUUAGCGGCGGACGGGUGAGUAACACGUGGAUAACCUACCUAUAAGACUGGGAUAACUUCGGGAAACCGUAGCUAAUACCGGAUAAUAUUUUGAACCGCAUGGUUCAAAAGUGAAAGACGGUCUUGCUGUCACUUAUAGAUGGAUCCGCGCUGCAUUAGCUAGUUGGUAAGGUAACGGCUUACCAAGGCAACGAUGCAUAGCCGACCUGAGAGGGGGCUCGGCCACACUGGAACUGAGCCCCGGCCCAGAACCCUACGGGAGGAAGAAGGAGGGAAUCUUCCGCAAGGGGGGAAAGCCUGACGGAGCAACGCCGGGGGAGGGAUGAAGGUCUUCGGAUCGUAAAACUCUUUUAUUAGGGAAAAACAUAUGUGUAAGUAACUGUGCACAUCUUGACGGUACCUAAGCAGAAAGCCACGGCUAACUACGG